Molecule: ribosomal RNA, 492 nt
Filed under: uncultured bacterium
Lineage: Bacteria
Description: partial 16S ribosomal RNA
Rfam family: Bacterial small subunit ribosomal RNA
Source: RNAcentral
AGUGAACGCUGGCGGUAGGCCUAACACAUGCAAGUCGAACGGCAGCACAGUAAGAGCUUGCUCUUACGGGUGGCGAGUGGCGGACGGGUGAGGAAUACAUCGGAAUCUACUUUUUCGUGGGGGAUAACGUAGGGAAACUUACGCUAAUACCGCAUACGACCUACGGGUGAAAGCAGGGGAUCUUCGGACCUUGCGCGAUUGAAUGAGCCGAUGUCGGAUUUGCUAGUUGGCGGGGUAAAGGCCCACCAAGGCGACGAUCCGUAGCUGGUCUGAGAGGAUGAUCAGCCACACUAGAACUUAGACACGGUCCAGACUCCUACGGGAGGCAGCAGUGGGGAAUAUUGGACAAUGGGCGCAAGCCUGAUCCAGCCAUACCGCGUGGGUGAAGAAGGCCUUCGGGUUGUAAAGCCCUUUUGUUGGGAAAGAAAAGCAGCAGGUUAAUACCCCGCUGUUCUGACGGUACCCAAAGAAUAAGCACCGGCUAACUUCGUG